GCAUUAAUGGGGUAGUGGUAACCUGGGUCGUUGCCAUACAUUCAAUCCACAAGAAGUAUGAGUUUCUCGACCCGCCGGGGGUUCGAUUCCCUCUUAAUACA
Non-coding RNA from Rhodocollybia butyracea, 101 nucleotides. NCBI's taxonomy places the organism in Eukaryota, Fungi, Basidiomycota, Agaricomycetes, Agaricales, Omphalotaceae. The record is from the annotation of a GenBank genome assembly.